UCCUGUGCAAUCCUUCUGCAACUGACACGACGAGGCUCUUAGGGUACCCGGCAUCGCUUAGCCUCGAGACCUGUUGCCUGAAGCUUUCAUCCAUGAGGUGCCCUGAUGGAUCCCUGUCCAGUUAAUGAUGGAUCCCUGUCCAGUUAAUGAUGGAUCCCUGUCCAGAUGACUCUUACAUUGGCCAGCAAAAGCAACACCAUGGAAGCAAUGAUGACAACACUUAUGUAAAAACACCUUAGAGCUUGUGACUUUAACAAACAACACUACUGGCUGUAAAGCCAUGCAACUUCUAUGGGCUCCUUUAAAUGUUUGCUUCGGUUUGGAAAUCAGUGCUUAGAAUUGGUCUUUGAAGCGUAUUUUGGCGAGAAGAGAAUGUUAAAUGUGCUUGGCAAUAUUCGGCAGAGAAAGCUUUGUGACAGAGAAUCACUGUAUUGCGGCUUUCUACAAACCUUAUUGUCGAUUCAAGGGUCACGACCCACUUGCAGGUCAUAGGACUUUGAAGAAGUGAUCAUAUUGAAAUUGUAAAACAUGAAAUUGGUUCACUGUAUUGAGAUGCUGCUCCUGUUGCUAUUGUCACAAGAUAAAUAGCUGUGAAAUUUGUUUGGUGUGUUAACAA
This is a long non-coding RNA of Rhipicephalus microplus (southern cattle tick), 616 nucleotides long. Lineage: Eukaryota; Metazoa; Arthropoda; Arachnida; Ixodida; Ixodidae. The record is from RefSeq and is a predicted model, not a curated record.